GAUAAUGAGAAGAAGAGUAAGAAGAAAAAGAACAAAAAUAGGAAACUAAUAAUUUCACUUCCGUUCUUUCAUUUAUUUAUCAAACAUAGCAUUUGAAGCCGGGAUGAUGGAAUAGUCCAUAAUUUUCUGGUGGUAAUUUGGAGUUUGUAUUUCAUUAAUCACUCUAAUGACCAAACUGGUUAAUUGCUAGUACAUUAUUACAUUGUGUAGCAUUAAAUUCAUAUGCAUCGACCUUCUAUCAGUGACUAAGUGAGUUUAAAACAUCAACACUCACAUGGAAAGGCUCGACAGUCUGCAUUCAGAGGCUUUAUGAAGUCUGUCUCACCACAAAAGACUGCAUAUGGCAGAUGGAGGGAAGUUUACUACUGUGGUCAACUUUACACUGCCACCCAGUAAUCACUGAACCCGAAGUGUGAAAUUCUGGACCUAUGACUUUCUCUUCAACUAUGCAGUAUCUUCAUCCAGCACCUGCCAUGCCUCUCAUCGCAUCGAGUGGGAGUUCCUCUCAGGCACUGGCUGAGGACAUGCUGUGUGUUCAAUGAAUGAAACCUUCCAUUAGCCUGCCACUCACAGAGCUACGCAGUAUUGGUGGUUGGAGAUUUUGACGUGUUUUUUCCCAAAUGGGAGGCAUAUUUGGGCACUGUACAACUUUUCCUGUACGAUCGUGUACACUACCACAAACAUCCACUCGCACUAUUUCUCCACGUUAGAGUAUCUUAAGGGUUAAGUAUCACAACUCUUAAGCAACACAAAUAGAAGAAGCCUACAGGGAUUAUGUAGUGACCAAAAUUAAAUGCUUAACAAACCAAACUAUCUUAUAUUUUACAAAACUAGCCAUCGUAGUAGCCUAUUUUACAGCUCUACAUGCAUGAUGAGGUGCAUUUUAGGAUGUUUUUUUUUAAACAGUAUUCAGUAUGCUGAACACUUAUUGGCUACAUUUUUAGUUUUAGUUUCUGUAAAGGAAUUCAUACUUGACUUGAAAUGUAUAAACCUGAAACGUGACUAUUCUAAGGUCGGUUUGCAUACCAAAAUACACCUCAAGGCAAGACUUGCACUUUAGUUUGGAAUGUUUUCAGCAAUAAUGCAAAUCUUGUUUUUCCUAAUAUAUAUAUGAUACUUAUUAUAACUUUACUAUAAUUCACUUUACUUAUCUAUACACCUUUUGGUGUCCAUUAAUUGUACCUAUCAAAUAUUUGUGUAGCUAUCCAGUUCAGGUGCUGGGAUGUGCAUGCAAUGCAAAAUAUGCAAACAACGACGACAGUGAUAGGCGGCCAAAGGUCGCUGUAUCUCAGGUAAAAAAGUAGCACUUUUUAAGUUCUGUUCAAAACUUUUACAUAUAUAUAUAUAUAUAUAUAUAUAUAUAUUUUAUUCAUUAUUAUUUUAUAUUAAAUUAACAUCUCCAUGAAUGACAAAAAGUUCCUCAUUGUAAACCUAUUAUUCUACAAAAUCAGAAUGCGGAAUGAGACAUUUAAUAAAACCCAUCUGUUAAGAACUCAGUAUACCCUCAGAACCUUCUCCAAAAAUAUACACUUUUUAAGCGGGUACACCAUUAUCCUUAAGG
Ctenopharyngodon idella (grass carp) is the source of this 1561-nucleotide long non-coding RNA. RefSeq lists it as uncharacterized. The record is from RefSeq and is a predicted model, not a curated record. The transcript is spliced from 3 exons. Lineage: Eukaryota; Metazoa; Chordata; Actinopteri; Cypriniformes; Xenocyprididae.